Molecule: long non-coding RNA, 6406 nt
Organism: Dama dama (fallow deer)
Lineage: Eukaryota; Metazoa; Chordata; Mammalia; Artiodactyla; Cervidae
Exons: 3
Source: RefSeq, a predicted model, not a curated record
GGCAGAUUCCUCGAUGAGCUCCUGCUCGAUUGGCCGACCUUCCACGGUGGGGUAACGGUCGCAGAAGCGGGGCCGGAGGCGGCUGAGCCGGCCGGGUUGAGCGCGCUGCGGGAGGUAGGCGGCGGCUGAGGAAGAUGAAGAUCCAGUUUCAUACGUGAGACUCACUGAGUGAUCAUUUCAUUGACAUCAACUUGAAUGAGGAGGUGAAAAGUGCAAGAGGAAUGUGGUAUGACUGAGCUACUUCCUGACCAGGGAUUGAACCUGUGCCCCCAGCAUUGGAAACAGAAUCUUAACCACUGGACCAUCAGGGAAGUCCAGCUCUACUAAUCUUUAAUAACUCCCUUGUCUGAUAUCUUGAGUCAAUUCUGUCCCAAAUCUGAAAUAAUAUCUUCAAGAAACUUUUUUUUAUCCAGAAGGAAAUAGCAUUUCAAGAUCAUAAUCUGUAUUCUUGGGAUCCUGAGUCAAUCAUGGUUUUAAUCUUUUCUGUAGACAGGUAGAUAUAACUAUCCUAGCUCUGUCUCUGGAAACACACACAGAACUCUUCAUUUGUAAAACUGAAAUUCUAUACCCGUUAAAUAACUCACCAUUCCCCUGGCAAUCACCAUUGUACUUUCUGUAUAAGUGGGAUCAUACAGCAUUUGUUUGUGACUAGCUAAUAUACUUAAGGUUCAUCCGUGUUGUAACUUAGGUAAACAUUUCCUUCCUGUUUAAGGCUGAAUGGGCUUCCCUCAUGACUCAGACAGUAAAGAAUCCACCUGCAGUGCAGGAGACCCAGGUUUGAUCCCUGGUCAGGAAGACACCCUGGAGAAGGAAAUGGCUGCUUACUUCAGUAUUCUUGUCUGGAGAAUUCCAUGGACAGAGGAGCCUGGUGGGCUGCAGUCCAUGGGGGUCACAAAGAGUUGAACACCACUGAGCUGCAUACACUACACUACUACUUAAGGCUGAAUAAUAUUCCACUGUAUGGUUUAUAGCAUAUUUUACUCAUCUAUUCAUCUGCUGAUGGAACUUGGGUUGCUUCCACCUUUUAGCUAUAUUUUGUGAAUAAUACUGCUGUGAACAUGGAUGUUCAAAGAUCUUUUUAAGACCCUGCUUUCAGUUCUUUUGUCAAAUUGCUGAAUCAUAAUGGCAUUUCUACAUUAAAUUUUUUGAAGAACCACCAUGCUAUUUUUCAUAGCAGCUAUACCAUUUUAUAUUCCUGACAGUGCACAAAGGUUUCAGUUUCUCUACAUCCUCAUGAGUAACUGUUAUUUCUGUUUCUUUUAGCCAUCGUAAUGGGUAUGAGGUGGUAUCUCAUUGUAGUUUUAGUUUGCAUUUACCUAAUGGGUAAUGUUGAAAUAUUUUCAUGUGUUUAUAGCCUUUUUUAUAUUUUCUUUAGAGAAAUGUCUGUUCAGGUUUCUUGCCCAUUUUUUAAUCAGAUUUUUUUUUGUUAAGUUUCUGGAAUUCUCUCUAUAUUUUGGAUUGUUUAUCGUUAUUUAGUUGCUAAUUGUGUCUGACUCUUGCAACCCCGUGGACUAUAGCCCACCAGGCUCCUCUGUCCAUGGGAUUGCCUAGGAAAGAAUACUGUAGUAGGUUGCCAUUUCCUUCUCCAGGGGAUCUUCCCGACUCAGGGAUCAAACCUGUGUCCCUUGUGUCUCCUGAAUCGGCAGGGAAAUUCUUUACCACUGAGCUACCAUGGAAGCCCCAUAUAUUCUGGAUAUUAAUUCCUUAUCACAUAAAUGAUUUGUGAAUAUUUUCUCCCUUUCCAUGGAUUGCCUUUUUACUCUGUUGAUAGUAUCUUUUGAUGCACAAAAAAAAAAUGUUAAAUUUUUGUCAAGUCCAGUUUGUCUGUUUUUACUUUUUGUUGCCUAUGCCUUUGAUGUCAUAUCUAAGAAAUCAUUGCCAAAUUCAGGAUUGUGAAGCUUUUACCCUGUGUUUUCUUUUAAAUUUUUACAGUUUAAGCUCUUAAAUUUAGGUCUUUGACCCAUUUGAGUUAAUUUUUGUGUGGUCUUAAGAAAGGUACAACUUCAUUCUUUUUACAGUUUUCACAGCAGAGGAAGAGACAGACUAUAUCCUUUUGAAGGCUUUUUGGCACUCUUAUUGAAAACCGUUUGACAGUCAGUUCAGUCGCUCAGUCGUAUCCAACUCUUAGCGACCCCAUGGACUGUAGCACGUCAGGCUUCCCUGUCCAUCACCAAAUCCCAGAGUUUACUCAGACUCAUGUCCAUCAAGUCAGUGAUGCCAUCCAACCAUCUUGUCCUCUGUCGUCCCCUUCUCCUCCUGCCUUCAAUCUUUCCCAGCAUCAGGGUCUUUUCCAGUGAGUCUUUUCCGGGUGGCCAAAGUAUUGGAGUUUCAGCUUCAGCAUCAGUCCUUCCAAUGAAUAUUCAGGGUUGAUUUCCUUUAGGAUUGACUGGUUGGAUCUCCUUGCAGUCCAAGGGACUCUCAAGAGUCUUCUCCAACACCAUAGUUCAAAAGCAUCCUCAGUGCUCACAUUUGACAAUAAAUGUGGGGGAUUAUAUCUGGGCUCUUUAUUCUAUGCAGUUGGUCUAUGCGAACACCACUCUGUUUGGAUUUGUGUAGCUUUGCAAAGGAGUUUUAAAUCAGGAAGCUGUUACUCCUCCAACUUCAAUCUUCUUUUUCAAGAUUACAUUCGGGUGAUUACAUUCAAGCUAUUCACGGUCCCUUGAGAUUCCAUAUGUAUUUUAGGAUGGGUUUUCUCUUUCUGAAAAAAAUGUCAUUGGGAUUUUGAUGGGGAUUACACUGAGUCUGUAGAUUGCUUUGGUUAGUAUUGAUGUCUUAAUAUUAAGUCUUAUAAUCCAUGAAUAUUGGAUGCGAUCCCAUUUGCUUAUGUCUUUUUAAUUUCUUUGAGCAAUGUUUUGUAGUCUUCAUUGUACAAGACUUUCACCUCCUUGGUUAAGUUUACUCCUAUUUUUAUUCUUUGAUGCUAUUGUAAAUGGAGUUCUUUUAUUUUCCAUUUUAGGUUAUUCAUUGUUAAUGUAUAGAAAUGCAGAUGGUUUUUAUAUGCUGAUUUUCAUAUUCUGCUGCUUUGCUGAGUUCAUUUAUUCUAAUGUGUGUGUGUGUGUGUAUUCUUUAAGGUUUUUGGCAUAUAAAAUCAUAUCAUGUGCAAAUACAGAUAAUUUGACUUCUUUUCCAAUUUGAAUACCUUUUAUUUCUCUUUCUUGCUUAAAUGCUUGGUGAGAACUUCCAUUUCUAUAUGGAAUAAAAGUGGUGAAUGUGACAUCCUUGCCUUGUUCCUCAUCUUAGAGGGAAAGCUUGUAGUCUUUUAUCAUUGAAUAUGAUGUUCACUGUAGCUUUUUCAUAUAUGGCUUUUGCUGAGUUGUGUGUGUGCUAGUUUGCUUCAAUCAUGUUCUACACUUUAAGACCCUAGGCUCCUCUGUCCAUGGGAUUCUCCAGGCAAGAAUACUGGAGUGGGUUGCCAUUUCCUCCUCCAAGGGAUCUUUUGUUGAGUUAGUUUCCUUCUAUUCCUAGUUGUUGAGUGUUUAUCACAAGAAGUUGGAUUUUGUAAAAUGCUUUUUCUGCAUCAGUUGUAUGUUUUUUUCUUCAUUCCAUUAAUGUAGUGUAAUAUGUAAUACACUGAUUUCUUUUCAUAUGUUGAACUAAUUCCUCCAUUCCAAGUAUAAAUCCCACUUGAAUAUGGUAUAUAUGCUGCUGAAUUUGGUUUACUAGUGUGUGCAUGCUCAAUUUCUUAAGUCAUGUCCAACCCUUGCGAACUCAUGGACUAUAGCCCUCCAGGCUCCUCUGUCCAUGGGAUUUUUCCAGGCAAGAAUACUUGCAGUGGGUUGCCAUUUCCUCCUCCAGGGAGUCUUCCCAACCCAAGGUUCAAUCCUCGUCUCCUGUGCCUCCUGCAUUGGCACUCAGAUUCUUUACCACUAAGCCACCUGGGAAGCCUUUGGUUUACUAGUAUUUUGCAUCAAUGCUUGUAAGGGAUGUUACUAUUUUUCUUGUAUUGUCUGACUUUUUAAUAUUAAGGUGAUGCUAUCCUCCAAGAAUGAGUUAGAAAGUAUUCCCUUGUCUGAUUUUUUGGAAUAGUUUGAGAAGGAUUGUUAGUAGUUCUUUAGAUGUUUUGAUAGAAUUUCUGAGUGAAGCCACUUGGUCCAUGGCUUUUCUUUUGGGGAGAGUUUUUUGAUUACUGAUUCAGUCUUAUUACUAGUUACAGAUGUAUUGUGAUUUUCUAUUUCUCGGUGAUUCAGUCUUGGUAGGUUUUGUGUUUAUAGGAAUUUGUCCAUUUCAUGUUGGUUAUCUAGUUUCUUGGCAUGCAAUUGUUUAUAAUAUUGUUUAAUACUUUUUUCUGUAUAAUUGGUAGUAAUAUUCCCACUUUCAUUUCUGAUUUGGGUAAUUUGAGUCUUCUCUUUUUUUUCCUGUUCAUCAGGUAAAAUUUGUCAUUUUUGUUGAUCUUUUCAGAUGUCUUUCAUUGACUUUCUCUAUUGCUUUCCUAGUCUAUAUUUCCUUGUUUCUGCUCUAAUUAAUCUUUAUUUUUUUCUUUUGCUAGCUUUGGGUUUAGUUUGUUCUUUUUCUUGUUCCUUAAGUUGCAAACUUAGGUUGUUAAUUUGAGAUCUUUCAUGUUUUUAAUGUAAAUUUUUAUAACUCAAAUUUCCCCCUUAGGAUUGCUUUCCCUGUGUCCCAUAAGUUUUGAAAUAUUGUGUUUUGUUUUCAUUAAUAUCUUAAGAGUUUUCUAAUUUCUCUUGUGAUUUCUUCUUUCAUCCAUUGAUUAUUUACAAAUGUGUUGUCUAAUUUCCAUAAACUUAUGAAUUUUUGUUUUAGUUUUUGAUUUCUAAUGUCACCUGUUUGUGGAGACUUAAUUUGUGGUUUAACAUAUAGUCUAGCCUGAUAAUGUCCCAUGUGCCCUUGGAAGACUGUAUUCUGUUGUUGUUGAGCAGUGUUCUUUUCUUUUCUUUUUUUCUUUUUGAUCAGCUGUGGGAUCUUAGUUCCCUGACCAAGGAUCAAUCCCGUGCUCCCUGCAGUGGAAGCAUGGGGCCCUAAACCACUGGAUUACCAGGGAAUUCCCCAGAGUGUUCUUUAUAAAUCUACUAGAUCUGGUUGUUUUACUCUGUCAUGUUGUCUGUUUCAUUACUGUUCUUCUGUCUGUAUUCUUGAGAAUGGGGUGUUAAAAUCUCCAACUAUAUUGUAGAACUAUUUCUUCCUUCAAUUCUGUCAGUUUUUACUUCCCAUGUUUUAGUGGUCUGUUGUUAAGUGCAUAAGAGUUUAUAAUUGUUAUGUUCUAGCUGUAUUGAAUCUUUCAUUAAUAUGUAAUGUCCUUUUUUGUCUCUAGUGGCCUUUUUUGAUUUAAAGUCUAUUUUGUCUAGUACUAAUAUAGCUACACUUUUUUUCUUUUUUUUAAAAAUUAUUUUCAUGAAAUACCUUUUACCAUUCUUUCAUUGUCAAUCUCUCUGUGUCUCUGGCUCUAAAAUGGUCUCUAGUGGCCUUUUUUGAUUUAAAGUCUAUUUUGUCUAGUACUAAUAUAGCUACACUUUUUUUCUUUUUUUUAAAAAUUAUUUUCAUGAAAUACCUUUUACCAUUCUUUCAUUGUCAAUCUCUCUGUGUCUCUGGCUCUAAAAUGGGUCUUGUUUUAAGCACAUAGUUGGAUCAUAUUUUCUUAAAUUCAUUCUACCAGUCUGUCAAGAGUUUGACCCUUUUACAUUUAUAGUGAUUACUGACAGGUAGGGGAUUACUAUCUGUAAUUUUGCUAUUUUUUUGUAACAUCUUAUGGCUUUUUUCCCGCCUCAUUUCCUGUAUUACUGUCUUCUUGUGUUUAGUUGAUUUUUUUUUUUUUUAUAGCAGAAUGUUUUCUUUUUCUAUAUAUUCUAUCACUGUUUUCUCUGUGGUUAACAUGAGGAUUACAUUUACCAUUAUAAAAUUAUAACACUAAUUUGAAUUGAUCACAGCUUUAAUUAAAUAACCUGCUGCUUUAUAGCUCUAUCCCCACCUCUUUCAGCUGUUGAUGCUGCACAGUUACAUCUUUAUACAUGUGUGCCUGAAAACAAAUUAAGAAUUCUAAUAAAUGAGUUAGUCUCUUAAAUUAGGUAGAAAAUGUGUGACAUUACAAACCAAAGUUAUAAUAAUAUUAGCUUUAGACUAAUGAUUGUUUUGUAAAAAACGAUCUGUUUCUUAAGUCAUGUAGAAAGCAAAAAGUGGAGCUACACAUCUUUGUUAUGAUAGUAGCAGCUCUUACAGUCGCCCGUGUGUUUCCCGUGCCAUGCACCUUUACUGAGAUACUUGUCUUUCCUGUGGCUUUGCUUUAGUCUGUGUCCUUUCACCUCAGCCAGGAGGACUCCCUUUACCUUUACUCGCAGGGCAGGUCUAGCGGUAGGGAACUCCUUAAACUUUUGCUUAUCUGGAAAUAUCUUUCUUUUGUUCUCACUGUUGAAGGAUAGUUUUGCCAAACAUAGGAUUCUUGAUUGACAGUUUCUUU